AAUGAACGCUGGCGGCAUGCCUAACACAUGCAAGUCGAACGAGUGGCGGACGGGUGAGUAAUGUCUGGGAAACUGCCUGAUGGAGGGGGAUAACUACUGGAAACGGUAGCUAAUACCGCAUACCAUCAGAUGUGCCCAGAGGGGUUUAGCUAGUUGGUGGGGUAACGGCUCACCAAGGCGACGAUCCCUAGCUGGUCUGAGAGGAUGACCAGCCACACUGGGACUGAGACACGGUCCAGACUCCUACGGGAGGCAGCAGUAGGGAAUAUUGCGCAAUGGGCGAAAGCCUGAUGAAGCCAUGCCGCGUGUAUGAAGAAGGCCUUCGGGUUGUAAAGUACUGUCAGCGGGGAGGCGUUACCCGCAGAAGAAGCACCGGCUAACUCCGUGCCAGCAGCCGCGGUAAUUC
Molecule: ribosomal RNA, 406 nt
Filed under: uncultured bacterium
Lineage: Bacteria
Description: partial 16S ribosomal RNA
Rfam family: Bacterial small subunit ribosomal RNA
Source: RNAcentral